This 377-nucleotide ribosomal RNA is filed under the name uncultured eukaryote. Its description in RNAcentral is "partial 18S ribosomal RNA". It matches the Rfam family "Eukaryotic small subunit ribosomal RNA", at positions 592 to 976 of the family's 1831-position model. The record is from RNAcentral.
CAAUAGCGUAUAUUUAAGUUGCUGCAGUUAAAAAGCUCGUAGUUGGAUUUCGGGUGGGAAUGGCCGGUCCGCCGUUUCGGUGUGCACUUGCUACGCCCACCUUGCUGCCGGGGACGAGCUCUUGAGUUCACGCUCGGGACACGGAGUCGGCGAGGUUACUUUGAGUAAAUUAGAGUGUUCAAAGCAGGCCUACGCUCUGAAUACAUUAGCAUGGAAUAACACGAUAGGACUCUGGCCUAUCUUGUUGGUCUGUAGGACCGGAGUAAUGAUUAAGAGGGACAGUCGGGGGCAUUCGUAUUUCAUUGUCAGAGGUGAAAUUCUUGGAUUUAUGAAAGACGAACUACUGCGAAAGCAUUUGCCAAGGAUGUUUUCAUUAA